RNAcentral lists this long non-coding RNA (614 nucleotides) under Homo sapiens (human). RNAcentral describes it as "non-protein coding lnc-KIAA1755-16:1". Lineage: Eukaryota; Metazoa; Chordata; Mammalia; Primates; Hominidae. The record is from RNAcentral.
AUCCGGCUUGGGAGGCAGCGCGGGACAGGGUCCCGGCGCUCUCGGGUGGGGACCCCUCUUCUGAGCUGCAGGAAGUUGAAACCGGUUGGGACGUGGCCAGGCUUCGGAAUAGUUUUCCUAACGCUGCCCCCUCCUCCAAAAUAGUUUUCCUAACCCCCACCCCGACCAUGGAAAGAGGGAAGCCAAGGACGGUAUCCCUGCUCCCAUUUGACAGACGGGAAUCCUGAAGCCCAGAGAGGAGUGGUAACCUGCUCAAGGUCACACAGAAUGAAUGCCAGGGCCAGGAACUCAGGGUUCCUAGCUUGAAGGCCUGCGCGGCCUGAGUCUGAAGGCUUCCCAGGAGGUCCAGGGGCCGGCCCUGGCCUUGCGCUGGGGACAGAUCUGUGGGGCCAGGUCCCCCAGCUGCUGGGGCCGAGACAUGGGGGCUGUGGCCUGCGGUGUGGACUCGCAUCAUUUCCUCUUUCUGGAAAGAAGGGAGGUGAAGCGCUGGAGGAAGGAAGUGGUCGUACCUCUGCUGACGUCUGACGCCCUUUGAGAUGUGCAGGAUGAAGAUAGGGGCUGCUUCCCUGAGAUUUAACGCUAAAAAUAAAAAGCAAAACAUACCCGGUGGCUUC